UUGGAUAUGUUCUUUCAAGCUACCACCAUCCAUGUGAAGUUAGCAUGGAGUACAUCGUUAGCUUACUUUGUGUGCACAACAGCACAGUAUAAGGAAUUGAGCCUGAUUGCCUAUAUAUACACAUUAAACUGAUGACAUGACAGUUCAAGAUCUCACAGUCACAUCGGCGAUCUAAUCAGUCUCACAGGAAGCGAGCGUAACAAGGAUGAGUUCAGUGGAGAAGAAGCCGGAGGGAGUGAACACCGGUGCUGGUGACCGUCACAACCUGAAGACAGAGUGGCCAGAGUUGGUGGGGAAAUCGGUGGAGGAGGCCAAGAAGGUGAUUCUGCAGGACAAGCCAGAGGCGCAAAUCAUAGUUCUGCCGGUGGGGACAAUUGUGACCAUGGAAUAUCGGAUCGACCGCGUCCGCCUCUUUGUCGAUAAACUCGACAACAUUGCCCAGGUCCCCAGGGUCGGCUAGCAAGCUUGAGAGCUAGCCUGCUGCUGGCGUGUAUGUAUUGCAGCUUCACCAUCUCUUCUUGGCUAUAGCAAGAUUGAGAUUUAUAAAUCAUAUACAAUAAGAGUUGCUGCGGAAAA
Molecule: long non-coding RNA, 576 nt
Organism: Hordeum vulgare subsp. vulgare (domesticated barley)
Lineage: Eukaryota; Viridiplantae; Streptophyta; Magnoliopsida; Poales; Poaceae
Exons: 2
Source: RefSeq, a predicted model, not a curated record